GAAGACAUACAAAAACAAGGCCUCUGAGGUAGGCACUAUUGAGACAGUCAGGUGGGAAGGGCUCCUUGGCAAAACUCCAACCAGCCUGUACACUGGGAGGAAUGUGCACUGGGAUGGAGCCACAGAAGUUUGUGUCAUUUGCAGCAGGGAGGACCCUGGUCCCUCUUCUUCCGUGAGGAACCUAGAAUUCAAUCUGUGAGGAACUUACUGAAAGACCCAUCAAUUAUUCAAUAGAAAGCAUCAAAGGACAAUUUACACCCUAAGACUGAACCCCUGACCUCAAAAUCUCUCCCUUGCUAUGUUCACCAACCCUCAACAGAAAUAUUAGGAUUCUUACCUGAUCCUAGCCAAGCCCCCUCCCUCAUCUCCCAUUAAAAGGUCCACCUUCAACCAAACUUCAGUCUCAAUAAAUAUCUGGACAUCGUCCUUCCAACUCUGGGAAGCUGCUAAGACUCUGUCCUUACUGCAGAAGAAAAAAUAGCCUUGCAGCCUGGUCUUCUCAACAGGUUGUUCUGGAGAUGUUUUGGGGAGACUGCAUUAAACACAGCCUUCGCACCAUUGAAUAAACUCAGACACAAGCCAAUGCAUAAAAGUAAUCUAUGCUUCAGGUCACAGAAGCUUCAAGGGGAAAAAAACAGAAUGCUCUAGGGCCACUGUUCAUGAACUCAUUUGAAAACAUCCUGGAAAAAUUUUCCCAAACACAUGGAAAGAAAGAGAGGAAAAAAGAAGAUAUCUGAAUAACGUGGACUAGAAUAAAGAGCUGCCAGGAGCUGUUUAUUUAAAAACAGUACUUUCUUCUCUGGCUGAGUCCCUGGUAUUCUCUGCUGCAAUCUGUAGCUGGAGAAUUUUGAAGAAUGCAAUUAAAUUCAAAUGUUUUGAUGAGUAAUA
This 888-nucleotide small RNA is filed under the name Pongo abelii (Sumatran orangutan). Its description in RNAcentral is "sense intronic". Lineage: Eukaryota; Metazoa; Chordata; Mammalia; Primates; Hominidae. The record is from RNAcentral.